This 730-nucleotide ribosomal RNA is filed under the name uncultured bacterium. RNAcentral describes it as "bacterial SSU rRNA". It matches the Rfam family "Bacterial small subunit ribosomal RNA", at positions 773 to 1503 of the family's 1533-position model. The record is from RNAcentral.
CAGGAUUAGAUACCCUGGUAGUCCACGCCGUAAACGAUGUCGACUUGGAGGUUGUUCCCUUGAGGAGUGGCUUCCGGAGCUAACGCGUUAAGUCGACCGCCUGGGGAGUACGGCCGCAAGGUUAAAACUCAAAUGAAUUGACGGGGGCCCGCACAAGCGGUGGAGCAUGUGGUUUAAUUCGAUGCAACGCGAAGAACCUUACCUACUCUUGACAUCCAGCGAACUUGGCAGAGAUGCCUUGGUGCCUUCGGGAACGCUGAGACAGGUGCUGCAUGGCUGUCGUCAGCUCGUGUUGUGAAAUGUUGGGUUAAGUCCCGCAACGAGCGCAACCCUUAUCCUUUGUUGCCAGCGAUUCGGUCGGGAACUCAAAGGAGACUGCCGGUGAUAAACCGGAGGAAGGUGGGGAUGACGUCAAGUCAUCAUGGCCCUUACGAGUAGGGCUACACACGUGCUACAAUGGCGCAUACAAAGAGAAGCGACCUCGCGAGAGCAAGCGGACCUCAUAAAGUGCGUCGUAGUCCGGAUCGGAGUCUGCAACUCGACUCCGUGAAGUCGGAAUCGCUAGUAAUCGUGGAUCAGAAUGCCACGGUGAAUACGUUCCCGGGCCUUGUACACACCGCCCGUCACACCAUGGGAGUGGGUUGCAAAAGAAGUAGGUAGCUUAACCCUCGGGAGGGCGCUUACCACUUUGUGAUUCAUGACUGGGGUGAAGUCGUAACAAGGUAGCAUC